RNAcentral lists this ribosomal RNA (429 nucleotides) under uncultured bacterium. Its description in RNAcentral is "SSU rRNA". It matches the Rfam family "Bacterial small subunit ribosomal RNA", at positions 370 to 808 of the family's 1533-position model. The record is from RNAcentral.
CAUGGGCGCAGCCUGAUGCAGCGACGCCGCGUGCGGGAUGACGGCCUUCNGGUUGUAAACCGCUUUUGACUGGGAGCAAGCCCUUCGGGGUGAGUGUACCUUUCGAAUAAGCACCGGCUAACUACGUGCCAGCAGCCGCGGUAAUACGUAGGGUGCAAGCGUUAUCCGGAAUUAUUGGGCGUAAAGGGCUCGUAGGCGGUUCGUCGCGUCCGGUGUGAAAGUCCAUCGCUUAACGGUGGAUCCGCGCCGGGUACGGGCGGGCUUGAGUGCGGUAGGGGAGACUGGAAUUCCCGGUGUAACGGUGGAAUGUGUAGAUAUCGGGAAGAACACCAGUGGCGAAGGCGGCCUACUGGGCACCAACUGACGCUGAGGCUCGAAAGUGUGGGUAGCAAACAGGAUUAGAUACCCUGGUAGUCCAAGGGCGAAUUC